UACAGAGGGUGCAAGCGUUAAUCGGAAUUACUGGGCGUAAAGGGUGCGUAGGUGGUUUUUUAAGUCGUUUGUGAAAUACCUGGGCUUAACCUGGGUGCUGCGGACGAUACUGAAAGGCUAGAGUAGAGUAGAGGGAAGUGGAAUUCUCGGUGUAGCGGUGAAAUGCGUAGAUAUCGUGAGGAACACCAGUGGCGAAGGCGGCUUCCUGGACUCAUACUGACACUGAGGCACGAAAGCGUGGGGAUCAAACAGG
RNAcentral lists this ribosomal RNA (253 nucleotides) under uncultured bacterium. RNAcentral describes it as "partial 16S ribosomal RNA". It matches the Rfam family "Bacterial small subunit ribosomal RNA", at positions 524 to 776 of the family's 1533-position model. The record is from RNAcentral.